GGGAAGAUGGGGUGCCGGAGGAGAGUCGUGGGGGCCAAGGAGCACCUUGGCUGUCUGGAGUCUGGCGGGAGUGGGGAAGGAUUGAGGGGCUAGCUCAGGCAGCCGGGGCGGUGGGGCCUGGGAGCCCACGAGGAGAAGGGUGGGCUCCCAGGGAAGCAGGGCAACAUCGGCAGGGGCGCUGGGCCUGAGCUAGGGCUGGAGAGGAGGGGAGCCAGACAUUCAUCCCGGGAACUUUUGGUUUCAGGACGUGGCGGCUGGUCGGACAAGGGGAAGCUGCUGGGCAGGGCUCGACCCCAAACCUGGGCAGUGGAGGUGUAGCUGGCAGCAGUGGGCAGGUGAGGACCGCCAUCUGCCGGGCAGGUGAGUCCACUUCCCUCCCUGGGCCUCACUGUGCUGGCCUUCUAGAAGGUUGGAGAGCGAGGACCUGCAAGGAGAAGUGGCUGUCCUCCCGGCAGAGCGGCAGGAGGAAGGCAGGAUGGUAGGCACAGGUGACAUCUUCUCGGGGGGAGCCGAGACGGAGAGAGACUGGGGGGCCCAGGGUCCAUUCCAGGUGGAAAGAGCAUUUUGAAUGGGUAGGAUAGAGAAGGGCAGGGCUGCCAGCGAGGACCGAGGCUGCUGCCUCCAGGGAGGUGACAGGUGACCUGGGGGUGGUAGUGGAGUCUGUGGGAAUCCAUCUAGUACUGUGGAAGUAUCCCAGGUCCAGGUCGGGCAGAGCGAGGUGGGGUCACAGGAUACAGAGGGGUCCCCAGCCGCCACCACAUCCCACCCACCGUAAUUCAUCUAGGAGAAGGUACAGAAGCGGCUCUGGCGGGUCUCCCGAGGCCUGUGCCAGAGCCUCGAAGGCUGGAGAGCGGGAAAGAAGGGCAGUGCGCGGGCAGCACAGAAGGACGUCACCUGGGGGGAGCGGUGGUCGUGGGUGGCGGGCUCCGGAGAGAUAUCGCAGCAAGGAGGCUGCAGCGGGCCCAGCCUGCGGAUGCACCGUUCCCACGCGGCACUGCGGCCCAGAGGCUGGCGCGGAGAGGGCCCACAGUGGACUUGGUGACACUGUAUGCCCUAACCGCUCAGCCGCUGGGUCUGGCAUGGCAGACAGGACAGCACCAGGGGAGCCAAGGGCAUGGGCAAGGCCAGACAAGGCGAGACGGGCGGGGUAGAGCGAGUGAGCUCUCUAAGGGGGGAGUCGGGGCAGGCAGGUGAGGGGCCACCAGGCGGCGAGCCAACGAGGCACUGGCCUCCAGAGCCCGUGGCCAAGGCGGGCAUCACGGGCAGCGACGGAGCAGUGAUCGGUGCCUUCAAGCUCAGGACUGGAGACAAGGACAGGUCUCCAGCAGGGGUGCACACGCCAGCCCCCGAAGGCCAGGACGCCAGGCGCAGGGAUGUACUGGAAAGACAUGACAUGGUCCGGUGUGAUGGCGAGGACAGAGGGACUGCCGUCCGGCCUUCGUGAACACUCUGGCUGGCACCGCGGGGGAGGCUGCCACAGAAGGGUCUGGUCCUUUGCUUUUCCGAAAGAGUUAACACACCACUGCUGCUCUCUGGACCCCCUAGAACCCUCAAGAAAUAAAGAAAUGGUGCUACCCAGCUCACGUCUGGGCCUUCAACUCUGGGGACUUCUUCAAGUCCGUCUAGCUCUGGAUCAAGAAUAUGCUGCGUUUGGGAACCACUGCAUACCUGACUCAGGAAUCGGCUCUGUAGGUGAAGCCGAAGGACCAGGCCUGUGAACACCAAGGCAGAACAGACCCGCAGCACCCGCCGCCAAACCCCAUCCUCGUGGCCACCCCACUGCG
This is an RNA transcript of Urocitellus parryii (Arctic ground squirrel), 1784 nucleotides long. RefSeq lists it as uncharacterized. The record is from RefSeq and is a predicted model, not a curated record. NCBI's taxonomy places the organism in Eukaryota, Metazoa, Chordata, Mammalia, Rodentia, Sciuridae.